GAGGCUACAAUUGUCUCGAUCCGCCAGCAGAGCCCUCCUGUGUCAUUUGCUCCUGUGUCACUGUACUGCGCACAAGGAACUCACCUCCGCAAUCAAAAAUGAAUGGUCUGGAUAAGAUUCUCGAGAACUUCUCGGUGUUGUUAAUCGUGCUCGGCUCGGUUGGUGUCGUGUGGGCCUUCAUUAUGAUGGUGUGAGAUGCUUGGAGGGUGUAUAUGUUACAGCAUGUUUGGGUCGGGCUCUACUUGCUGCAGUGAUGGCAGACAGCCAAACGGUGACUUGACCACCAUGUUGAAGUGAUGUCAUCACGCUACACUUAUCAAGCUGGGAUGCUACUCUUUUCGGGAUUCUUCGGAAGCCUUCGGCUAUUUUCGCCAUCUUCUCGCCUUCGUCUCUACGUUGCCGAGGACAGCGUCAUCACCUGCCAAUGCAUUAUGUGUGAACCAUAUAUCAACUUUUACUGACAAUGAACACUCAGUCCACAACAAUACUCCUUGCUGCUAUGAAACCCUGCUCCAGCGUUUAUCCCACGUUCAAGGCCAUUUUCGUAAUUCUACCAUGAUUGAAACAUCGCGACAAGUCACCAGCAAUAGAAAACUUGUAGAUUUGACUAUCGUUCUACUCACAUAGUCUUCAGAACGGCACGUAAAGUUGUCUUACCAUCUUUGCACAAUGUUUUAAGCCGCUUCACAUUAAUUUUGUGGAGUGGCAAUGUCUACUGUUUGCAACUUUUUUCAAAAUAAACCGCAAUUAAGGUGGCGGGUACGUUGAAUCCUUACUACGAUGUGUCAGUACAAAGAUGUACUUUUCUUAUAAUUACAUGUGUGUCUAAAACGAUUUCGAGUAUUUUCGUCUUUGGGUGAGUUUUCUGCCUAUGCCCGGUAAGACAUGUACUUCAUAACUCAAACACUUAGUCUUCACAGAUUGCCCAGAACAUGUAAUAAGUUGUUUGAUUGAGAAUUUCUUUUGGUAACAGCGCAGUAUGUUAAACAGAGCAUAUAGCAUAUUACCGGUUUAUAUGGUGGACUUGCAUCUAAUCACCAACCAGUAUCAGGUGCGUCUCUUAAUUAUGUUGGGAACAGCUCUCCAGCUAUGGCAAUGCAAUGCAGUGCCAUGUAUGCAUGUUACUAUUCUAGCCGAUGGUGUGAUAUAAAGCAUUAGCCUGAAAGUCUUCACGUACGACACUUGUAUUGCAGGGUUUCAGGUAUUCUAGCCCCAGACUUAAGGACACUUUCUUGAUAAUACAUGUAAAUUAUGGCAAGUUUCAUCACCUGUCACACGUUUCAAUGGGACAUGGGCGUGUCCUAUUUAAUUUUUUUGAAGGACCCGUAGCUCAUAGACAGCCUGUUGACCACCGAUGGGACAUCUUUUCUCAUCGUCAAAGAGUAGUAAAGAGGGGAGAUCAUGUCCAUCGGCAAUCAGGCGGUCAUCCUUGUGGCCAUACUGGUCAGCCUUUUUUAUGUAGUCCCGUAUCUUAUUAUGAUGCUGUGACGCACCCCUGGCGUCCGAGUGUCGGUAAGUACACUUAAGUAUGUCGCCAGUCUUACGAAACGCCAUCAUGCUGUAAUACAUUUUUACAAUACUGCAGAUUAGAUCUACCAUGUAGAAAGAUUAUGCAGCCUCAUGAAAUACCGGAGAAGUCAUCCAUUUAAAAGGCCAGUCAGCUUUCAGAGAGAAAAACAGCAUAGAGAUAGUCGCACGUAUGUGCGGCUGCAACGAGAACGCUCAUUCGUUUUACAAUGGUGCCUUUAUACAAAAUGGCAACAGUCAAAGGAAAAACAAGAUAGAAAUGACUUGGUACUAGAUAAGUGGGGCGGGGAUAGACUUAAUACUUGACAAAGGUGAAUAGUCUGUUACUUUUAAUGCAUUCAUAUUCUACGCUCUGCGUUUUGGUACAAGUCCUAUCUGAGCGUACUGAUUUAUUCAUGACAUACUGCGAGGGCUAGCUUGCUGUAAGCCACAAUAGAAUAGAAAUAGGUCAAUCUUUAAAGUCUAUGUCUGUACAUUGUCAGGUGUAUCAGCAUGCCUUAAAUUAAAAGUAUGUACAGUGUCAUUGUACACGGACAGAUGACAAGAUGUAAUUUUGUUCGGAUUCAGUCAACAAACUUAGCUUCUUAUUGGUUCUCCAGCAUGUAGCACUUUCACAUUAACCUUGAGUAGCUAUUCCAUCGUAAUCUACGGUCUUUCCACGCUUAAAUGCACACAAAUAUAUUCAUAUAUUCAAGUAUGUUAUAUAGUAGUCCUUGAUCUAUUUGAUUGCCGAAGCAUGAAAUCAUUAAGGUCUACUUUUCGCCAGACGUUAUCUAUUGUUUGCAACGACCGGUUGUUCCACUUCUAAAAUUCAACUCUCUAGUAGCACUGGAUUCUGGGAUACGUGCUUCCAUCACGUCACAACAGUCGUUACGUAAGGUUGACUAUACUUUAAAGCCGACUUUACGUUGUUCGUACUUCGUAGCUCAACGUAAGAAGAAUGUCUCUUGGUAACCAAGCGCUUAUCUUGGUGGCUGUACUCGUUGGGAUUUUCACUUUGACACCGUACCUGAUCACCAUGCUGUAACGUCAUGCCAAGGACUUAACGGACUGGCCUUGCCGGCCCCUUCUGAAGGUCGACGAGGUCAUCAAGAAACAUCAUGGUGGCCUCCGUGGCGUUCCGUACAACCGAUGAUAGCAAAGACGUCGACGCUUCCAAAGGCUUGCCAUCACCGCACCUCCUUGCCUAGAAAACACAACAGGAAUACACAACAGUAACUCCUUCUAUGGACUCUCGGUGAUAGAAUCCUUGUUAUCAGAUCUACAUGUAAGGAUAUAGACAACCUGUGCACCAGAAACAUCCAGCUUCAUCCGUUGGUUCUUCCGACACCUCAUCUCGCUUUAUCAUGGAGAUCACCUACCAUUGGCUCUAUCAGGAGGCAUCAUCAUCUGGUCGUUACAAGGAUGAACACGACUCUAUCCGGAGUACGUGGCACAAUAGGACUUGCAAUUGGGGAAACAUCCAUAUCUGUUAGAAAAAUAUACUAAACAUCAUUUUCCAUAGAAAUAUUGGAGGGCAAGGUAUACUUUAAGUUGCUGCUAGAUUAGAUGCCAUUUGCCAUGAGUAUUUUUUUGCUAGUCGAUUUCUACACUCGCUUUUUCCUUCAAUAAGCGAUGUUGUAGUUUGUUUGGGUUGUUUCAUCCAUCGUUAGGUAUAUCUCUCAUAUGCCCUCAGAUUGAAACGUUUGAUGGCAACUGAGAGAUUAUGAUAUAUGUGACUUGUUUCAUAGUUGCUUGAAGUCAGUCCAUGACAAAGUCGGACUCACUUCAAAUAUCUAUGAAUUUGGUCUUAGUGCUCUUCUUGCUGACGAAUAUGACGAUAUGUAAUAUCGUUUUCAAGAAGACAGUUUCAACCUGGCAUCCUGGUUUUACAGUUCCUUUGUAGAGAUGUGAAGCAGAGGAUGCUAGGUUACCCUACUACUCGAUGAAUGGAAUAGGUUGAUCUAAAUAUCUGAAUAAAUACAACAUUGGUUCAACUUUCAACUUUUAA
Long non-coding RNA from Branchiostoma floridae (Florida lancelet), 3517 nucleotides. RefSeq lists it as uncharacterized. NCBI's taxonomy places the organism in Eukaryota, Metazoa, Chordata, Leptocardii, Amphioxiformes, Branchiostomatidae. The record is from RefSeq and is a predicted model, not a curated record. The transcript is spliced from 3 exons.